AUCGCAACCGAUGAAUGAAUCCACUUUAAAACCCACUAACCCAGAUACCGCCUCCCUAUUGCUAUAAGUCCUCUGUUUUCGUCUUCAAAAUUAAAUUCAAAUCCCAACUUCCUCCUGUUACCAAUCCCCAAUCCACAAAAUACCCAUCAAAAUCGAGAUUAUAUUACAUAUUAUGGAGAAGAAGCCUUGGAGUUUUAUGUACUUGUUUAAGAGGCUUAACAGGAUCGGUAGUGGGCGGUGGAAGUUCAAGACCUCUGCCGGGUUGCGGUGGAAGUGGAAAUUCACCUUGCAUCUAUGGUUUAUAAACAAUUUUCUUUUCAAAAUUGUGUCGGCUUUUGAAGCCAUAUUUCUGGUUUCAACUCUCUGUUGCUUUUUCCUCUGUUGCGGCUGUCAUUUCUGAUUAACUAGCCAUGAAUUUACAGGGGAGAUUGUAUUUUUACGGUGCAAAAAGAUCCCAUUUCAAAGAGGGCAGUCAUUUUCAUCUGGUUAACGAAUGUUUCCUAGUCAAUUUUCACUAGUUUCUUUGUUCUUCCGUAUCAUCGAACCUUUUUUUGUUGGUGUUGAAUUAUGCAGAAAUGCUAAUUUUAACUAAACAACUCGCCGUCUAAGCACUUCUUAAUCAUCUUGACAGGGCAGACGCUGCUGAGAUCUGUUUAGGUGAUAUUCGAGGCUAUUUAUGAAUAAUAUUGAAGUGUAUUUCAAGUGAUGGCUCGUCUUGAAUUGUGAUCACUUGUCAUUAAUCAAUAGAUCAUUUUAUAGGGCUCGUUUCGCGGAGCUUUUAUCUUUACCUCGAUCUAGAAGAGUGUUUUUUUUUGAACAAGUUACUCUAUGUCGACUUCCUUUAAGAAAAUUUGUAGCAGGACAAAAUAUUUUCAAAAAGUUAUUCAAAUAUAAAUAAUUUGUUAACCCCGGAAACAACUUUUAUUUUCUCGAUAUUUUUACUAAAUAUAAACAAUUUCAUAUUAAAUCUCAUUUGAAUGACUUAUCGAUUGAAUGCACUUGGCACUAUUCUUGAGGGAAAAGUGGUAAAAUAAACUUGAGUGCAAUUUGAUAUCACAAUGAAUCGUUCUAAUUAUUUUCAUUGGUGGUGUAAAAUUAAGUGUAAAUUUGUAUCUUCAAAAUCACUUUUUGCAUUCUUAAUUACAU
RNAcentral lists this long non-coding RNA (1146 nucleotides) under Olea europaea (common olive). RNAcentral describes it as "long non-coding RNA (OEUR_LNC008084)". Lineage: Eukaryota; Viridiplantae; Streptophyta; Magnoliopsida; Lamiales; Oleaceae. The record is from RNAcentral.